RNAcentral lists this ribosomal RNA (741 nucleotides) under uncultured beta proteobacterium. RNAcentral's name for it is "bacterial SSU rRNA". It matches the Rfam family "Bacterial small subunit ribosomal RNA", at positions 138 to 873 of the family's 1533-position model. The record is from RNAcentral. Lineage: Bacteria; Pseudomonadati; Pseudomonadota; Betaproteobacteria.
GGGGGAUAACGUAGCGAAAGUUACGCUAAUACCGCAUAUUCUGUGAGCAGGAAAGCAGGGGAUCUUAGGACCUUGCGCUGAUUGAGCGGCCGAUAUCAGAUUAGCUAGUUGGUGAGGUAAAGGCUCACCAAGGCGACGAUCUGUAGCGGGUCUGAGAGGAUGAUCCGCCACACUGGAACUGAGACACGGUCCAGACUCCUACGGGAGGCAGCAGUGGGGAAUUUUGGACAAUGGGGGCAACCCUGAUCCAGCCAUGCCGCGUGAGUGAAGAAGGCCUUCGGGUUGUAAAGCUCUUUCAGCCGGGAAGAAAACGCAUGGGUUAAUACCCUGUGUGGAUGACGGUACCGGAAUAAGAAGCACCGGCUAACUACGUGCCAGCAGCCGCGGUAAUACGUAGGGUGCGAGCGUUAAUCGGAAAUACUGGGCGUAAAGCGUGCGCAGGCGGUUUUGUAAGACAGGCGUGAAAUCCCCGGGCUCAACCUGGGAACUGCGUUUGUGACUGCAAGGCUAGAGUAUGGCAGAGGGGGGUGGAAUUCCACGUGUAGCAGUGAAAUGCGUAGAGAUGUGGAGGAACACCGAUGGCGAAGGCAGCCCCCUGGGCCAAUACUGACGCUCAUGCACGAAAGCGUGGGUAGCAAACAGGAUUAGAUACCCUGGUAGUCCACGCCCUAAACGAUGUCAACUAGGUGUUGGGUGGGUAAAACCAUUUAGUACCGGAGCUAACGCGUGAAGUUGACCGCC